AGGUCAUAGUGAUCCGGUGGUUCUGAAUGGAAGGGCCAUCGCUCAACGGAUAAAAGGUACUCCGGGGAUAACAGGCUGAUACCGCCCAAGAGUUCAUAUCGACGGCGGUGUUUGGCACCUCGAUGUCGGCUCAUCACAUCCUGGGGCUGAAGUAGGUCCCAAGGGUAUGGCUGUUCGCCAUUUAAAGUGGUACGCGAGCUGGGUUUAGAACGUCGUGAGACAGUUCGGUCCCUAUCUGCCGUGGGCGAUGGAGAACUGAGGGGGGCUGCUCCUAGUACGAGAGGACCGGAGUGGACGCAUCACUGGUGUUCGGGUUGUCAUGCCAAUGGCACUGCCCGGUAGCUAAAUGCGGAAGAGAUAAGUGCUGAAAGCAUCUAAGCACGAAACUUGCCCCGAGAUGAGUUCUCCCUGAGACUUUAAGUCUCCUGAAGGAACGUUGAAGACGACGACGUUGAUAGGCCGGGUGUGUAAGCGCAGCGAUGCGUUGAGCUAACCGGUACUAAUGAACCGUGAGGCUUAACCUUACAACGCCGAAG
RNAcentral lists this ribosomal RNA (536 nucleotides) under Escherichia coli. RNAcentral describes it as "partial 23S ribosomal RNA". It matches the Rfam family "Bacterial large subunit ribosomal RNA", at positions 2407 to 2925 of the family's 2925-position model. Lineage: Bacteria; Pseudomonadati; Pseudomonadota; Gammaproteobacteria; Enterobacterales; Enterobacteriaceae. The record is from RNAcentral.